UGAGAGGAGUUGAUUUCUAUUGUUGUAUUACAAAUAGGCUCAAGGGCGAGAGGGAGGGGUUGUCGCGGAGUUGUUAUACAAAGCCCGAGGCCAGUAAUUUUACUCAGGGUAAGUCCUUUUGUUGAGCCUGUGUUCCAUCGGAGACUAGAGGGGCUGUUGGUAAAUGUCAGGUCUCCUCGGCGGGCUAUGCCCUCAUAGAAGGGUGGCAUGGCUGAGUAACAGAUCCAGCAUUCCUUAUCUCGGGUGUAAUUAAGAUUGUGGAGAGCAUGUGCUGAGGCGUACACGAGAGAAAGUAAUAACUGAGAAGAGGACGAGGGACUAGCAGGUAAGAUGGAAAGAUUUCUACUCCAAGCAUAAGUGAAAGAUGGAUUGGAAUGGACAAAGACAAGAAACAAGGAGGUCAAUUAAAGAUAUCAUGGUCCAGUUAUUGAAGUCCAGUGACAAGAUAAAAAUCAAGAUGACUGAUGAUGGACCAGGAUACAGUGGAUGACGUUCAUUUUUCAGAUAAAGAAACUAAGGAGCAGGGAGGCUUAUUUUACAGAUGGGGAACUGAGACAAACAGGGUGAAGUAGUGUCAGAAGACUUCGGUUAAAAUCCUGACUUCUCUUACUAUCUGAGGAGCAGAUGAAUAGCCAACAUGUCUCUCAAGAAAGAAUGCUGAAAGUCAUCCCACACCUGAAAUUGUGAAUUCCUCUGUUCCUGACACUCACAGACUUCUCCCCAGCAACUAAUUGUCAUGUCACAAAUGGAUAAGAAAUAAGACUUGAGGCAGAAACAGCAGGAGCAGUUGAACUGUGAAACCACUGAGAUCCAGCUUUCAUGCAAAAUAGCCUAAGUCACAAAAAUAAAAUGAAGAAAAUAUCUUAAAUGAAAAUGAAA
Molecule: long non-coding RNA, 879 nt
Organism: Antechinus flavipes (yellow-footed antechinus)
Lineage: Eukaryota; Metazoa; Chordata; Mammalia; Dasyuromorphia; Dasyuridae
Exons: 5
Source: RefSeq, a predicted model, not a curated record